CCCGUUAGCGCCUCCCAGCUGCCCUCCCAGCCAGAAGUGGUCCAGCCAAGGCUGCCCGGCUGGCAGAGGCCUCCUGGGGCGCUCCUGAUUGACAGGAUGCUAAAUGCAAGAGGUUUCCUGCGAUAGAGAAAGAGAUUUUCUUGAAGCAUUCAACUCCUGACCUUUAAGAGCUUGGGGAGCAAAAUGAUUUUCAGUCACUUGGGCCUGAGUGAAAGGUUGUCACGGUGCCGGGAGAGAGGGAAGCAGGAUUGAGCAGAGGGAGGAGAGGAGCCGCAGUCACCACAAAGGACUCAGCCAGUCCCAGAGAGCCCUGGAGCUGGCAUGAUCUCCCUGAAUUGCCUUGCCCUGAGGCAAGAGGGAUGGGCCUUUACUGUCUUUCAUUGCCUGGCCAGGGGAAGCGGGCUACCCCUGGGAGGGGUGGCGACCUUGGGCAAGAGGAUUCCCUUUAAUUAAGAGCACGUCCUGGAGAGAGACCUGAGCUGAGAGUCAUCAAUACUCCCAGCAAGCUGGGGAAGUGAGUACCUGAAGCCUGAGGGGCCUCUGGGCAGCACACCGUGACCACGACCAUGGCCGUGACCGCUAUGGCGCACCCUACGCUGCUCAAAUGACCUGCCAUCACAGGGUUCCAUUCCCCGGGGAACGUGUUACUGGUUUGCAUUUGCUGCCUUGGCCCUGGGUGGGGGAGGCCGUUUGAAGACUUCCACUUGGCCUUCGCUACAGUAACUCUCAACUCCACAUGUCAAGGACUAGGUCUGCCAACUGGUCCCUGCCCUCGUGGAACUUCCAUUCUGGUGGAUAUAAGCAGUGAGUACUUGGAAGACAGAAACACCCAUCUGGCUGCAUAAACGCUCCCUGAAUGAGUAAAAUGAAAAACUAAUU
This is a long non-coding RNA of Neofelis nebulosa (Clouded leopard), 879 nucleotides long. RefSeq lists it as uncharacterized. The record is from RefSeq and is a predicted model, not a curated record. NCBI's taxonomy places the organism in Eukaryota, Metazoa, Chordata, Mammalia, Carnivora, Felidae. The transcript has 4 exons.